UUUUUUUUGUAAUUCUUCUUUUGUUUUAUAUGCUUGAGGGAAUAGAAUUUUUUUAUUAGUAUAAUUUCUUCUUUGCUUUGUAAUAUAACUUCUUCUUUGUAUUGUUGUUAUUACAUGUAGGUUGGUUUUAGAUUGUGAUAAUGGCAUCAUCUAGUGAAAGCGCAUCUGUAGUGGAAUGUUGGCCAAUUUCUGAUUGCAAAUCGAUGGUGUUGAGGCUUUGCUAAGAGAGGAAUCAUGCACCAGGAUUGUUUCACUAAGGGAGUUGUGUACCAAGUUGGUUCAAUUGAAGGAAGAGUUGCGAUUGAGUUGGUUCAACUGAGGGAGCAACAACAAAUGCAUUUCUUAGAGUUCCUGCGAAGGGGACAAAUCUAUGCAACUUUUGGAGAGCGGGUUGAAAGUGAAAGAAUAUGAGCUGUUGAGAAGGAACUUCAGUGACACUGGGAGCUUCAGCUUUGGAAUUCAGGAGCUCAUUGACCUUGGGAUCAAAUAUGAUCCAUCGAUGGACAUUUACGGCAUGGACUUCUUAGUAUUGGAACAACCUAUUUAUGGCAUGGACUUCGAAGUAGUAUUGGAACAACCUAUUUAUGAAAUGGACUUAUACAUAUUGGAACAACCUAUUUAUGAAAUGGACUUAUACAUAUUGGAACAACCUAUUUAUGAAAUGGACUUUUAUGUAGUAUUGGAACAACCUAUUUAUAGCAUGGACUUCUAGGUAGUAUUGGAACAACCUGGGUACUGGGUGGACCUUCACCAGAGGUGCAAGUCUUGUGUUGGGAUCCAGCAUCAGGUAACCAAGGAGGAUGUCAUGAAAUGGUUCUAGGCCAAAUAUGAGGGUGUUAUCCUUGACAAGUAAAACAAAACUUCCUAGAAAUCGAUCCAUUUAUUUUGAAUUUUGCAAGUUAUGCUUACAUGAUGCUGACAAGGAAAUGGAACUCUUUCAUUCUCU
Magnolia sinica is the source of this 946-nucleotide long non-coding RNA. RefSeq lists it as uncharacterized. The record is from RefSeq and is a predicted model, not a curated record. Lineage: Eukaryota; Viridiplantae; Streptophyta; Magnoliopsida; Magnoliales; Magnoliaceae. The transcript is spliced from 2 exons.